Molecule: ribosomal RNA, 129 nt
Filed under: Helianthus annuus (common sunflower)
Lineage: Eukaryota; Viridiplantae; Streptophyta; Magnoliopsida; Asterales; Asteraceae
Source: RNAcentral
GGUUGCGAUCAUACCAGCACUAAUGCACCGGAUCCCAUCAGAACUCCGCAGUUAAGCGUGCUUGGACGAGAGUAGUACUAGGAUGGGUGACCCUGGGUGACCCCCUGGGAAGUCCUCGUGUUGCAACCC